CCUACGGGGGGCUGCAGUGAGGAAUAUUGGUCAAUGGGCGCUAGCCUGAACCAGCCAAGUCGCGUGAAGGAUGACUGCCCUAUGGGUUGUAAACUUCUUUUAUAUGGGAGUAAAGUGCAGUAUGUAUACUGCUUUGCAUGUACCUUAUGAAUAAGGAUCGGCUAACUCCGUGCCAGCAGCCGCGGUAAUACGGAGGAUUCGAGCGUUAUCCGGAUUUAUUGGGUUUAAAGGGUGCGUAGGCGGGUUGUUAAGUCAGUGGUGAAAGUUUGCGGCUCAACCGUAGAAUUGCAGUUGAUACUGGCAUCCUUGAGUUUAGUAGAGGUAGGCGGAAUGCGUGGUGUAGCGGUGAAAUGCAUAGAGAUCACGAAGAACUCCGAUUGCGAAGGCAGCCUGCUGGACUGUAACUGACGCUGAUGCUCGAAAGUGUGGGGAGCAAACAGGAUUAGAUACCCUGGUAGUC
Molecule: ribosomal RNA, 460 nt
Filed under: uncultured bacterium
Lineage: Bacteria
Description: partial 16S ribosomal RNA
Rfam family: Bacterial small subunit ribosomal RNA
Source: RNAcentral